RNAcentral lists this ribosomal RNA (728 nucleotides) under uncultured archaeon. RNAcentral's name for it is "bacterial SSU rRNA". It matches the Rfam family "Archaeal small subunit ribosomal RNA", at positions 1 to 735 of the family's 1478-position model. The record is from RNAcentral.
UUCCGGUUGAUCCUGCCGGAGAUUACUGCUAUCAGGAUUCGACUAAGACAUGCUAGGUGAAUGCGGUUCGUCCGCAUGCCGAAUAGCUCAGUAACACGUAGUUAACUUGCCCUCAGGACUGGGAUAACCUUGGGAAACUGAGAUUAAUACCGGAUAGAAAAUAGAUACUGGAAGGUUCUAUUUUCAAAAGUUCCGAUGCCUGAGGAUAGGACUGCGGUGGAUUAGGCUGUUGUGGGUAUAAAGGACCCACAAACCUAUAAUCCAUGCGGGCGUUGAGAGACGGAGCCCGGAGAUGCGUUCUGAGACAAGAAUGCAGGUCCUACGGGACGCAGCAGUCGCGAAAACUUUACAAUACCUGAAAGGGUGAUAAGGGAAUCCUGAGUGCUCCAGCAUUGCUGGAGCUUUUCUAGAGUGUAAAAAGCUUUGGGAAUAAGUGGUGGGUAAGACGGGUGCCAGCCGCCGCGGUAAUACCCGCGCCACGAGUGGUAAUCACGGUUAUUGGGUCUAGAGCGUUCGUAGCCGGCUUAGAAAAUUCUUGGUGAAAUUUCAUGUAAAACAUGGAAAGUGCCAGGAACACUUCUGGGCUAGGAACCGGGAAAGGCUAGGGGUACUCCGAGGGUAAGGGUUAAAUCUUGUAAUCCUUGGAGGACCACCUGUGGCGAAGGCGCCUAGCUGGAACGGCUUCGACGGUGAGGGACGAAAGCCUGGGUCGCAAACGGGAUUAGAUA